GCCUGGAUAGCUCAACUGGUUAGAGUGUGGUGCUGAUAGUGCCAAGGUUGCAGGUUCGAUCCCCUUAUGGGACA
Molecule: transfer RNA, 74 nt
Filed under: Podarcis lilfordi (Lilford's wall lizard)
Lineage: Eukaryota; Metazoa; Chordata; Lepidosauria; Squamata; Lacertidae
Description: tRNA.Ile
Source: RNAcentral